UCUUCCGAUCUCUUUUUGUGAAAUUCCGGGCUGGGGAAUGGACCUUGUAGCAUUCCCUCUACAGUAGGCUAAAGAAAUUCUUUCACCUGUUAAUUGAAGCGCUUAUUCGAAAAACGAUAUAUGUUACAUUUUUUCAAAAUUGUAGUUAUCGAUGUGAAAAAAAUGUAAGGAUUAUUCUCUCAGUCACACGUAUAAAAAAAAUAUCAAAAUACGCCGAGGCGAUCGAGGGCUACAGUUUGCGACGAAUGUCGUAUGCAAAUUACCUUUCAGUGGAAGAAUGCUGAAUGACUCACUGAAAAUGGCGAACAUCAAUACGCUCUUAUCCCCAGCGGCCUAAAAUCACGGAAUAAGAAGUUAAAAAGGAAAGUAAGCGUCAGUGAAUGGAAAGAUGUAAAGAGAAAGCGAUUGAGGAAUGCUGGCGAAGCCCAUUCGACCAAGAAAGGCAAGGAAAUUCCGGAGAAACCUCCCCACGAAAGGAAAGAUCAUGCGAACCAGAAAAAUGCAAGAAAACCGGAUAUGGUGAAAUCAUAUUGGCCCAGAGAGUACAUCUCUUCCAGGAAUAUCACAAGUUGUCUUACGAUGAGCAGU
Molecule: long non-coding RNA, 588 nt
Filed under: Androctonus crassicauda
Lineage: Eukaryota; Metazoa; Arthropoda; Arachnida; Scorpiones; Buthidae
Source: RNAcentral